Molecule: unclassified non-coding RNA, 378 nt
Filed under: plant metagenome
Description: partial contains 5.8S ribosomal RNA, internal transcribed spacer 2, and large subunit ribosomal RNA
Rfam family: 5.8S ribosomal RNA (bases 1-105)
Source: RNAcentral
GAAAUGCGAUAAGUAAUGUGAAUUGCAGAAUUCAGUGAAUCAUCGAAUCUUUGAACGCACCUUGCGCUCCUUGGUAUUCCUUGGAGCAUGCCUGUUUGAGUAUCAUGAAAUCUUCAAAGUAAAUCUUUUGUUAACUCGAUUGGUUUCUACUUUGGUAUUGGAGGUCUUUGCAGCUUCACUCCUGCUCCUCUUUGUUCAUUAGCUGGAUCUCAGUGUUAUGCUUGGUUCCACUCGGCGUGAUAAGUUAUCUAUCGCUGAGGACACUGUAAAAGGUGGCCAAGGUAAAUGCAGAUGAACCGCUUCUAAUAGUCCAUUGACUUGGACAAUACUUUUAUGAUCUGAUCUCAAAUCAGGUAGGACUACCCGCUGAACUUAAGC